Molecule: long non-coding RNA, 707 nt
Organism: Oryzias melastigma (Indian medaka)
Lineage: Eukaryota; Metazoa; Chordata; Actinopteri; Beloniformes; Adrianichthyidae
Exons: 4
Source: RefSeq, a predicted model, not a curated record
UGCUGAUAGUAACCGGGUGGAAGAUUAAUGGAUCUGUGUCUUCUCGUUUUCCAUCCUGCAGCCGCUCGAUGAGCUGAAACAUCUCUGACCUUGACCGCAGCCUCGCAGCGUGUAUGACCUCGCCAGAGGCAGGUUGGUCUGCGAGAAAACACUUCUGAAGACCAAAGGCAGAUGCCAAUAGGUCUGAAGAAACCGCAGAGCUCUGGCAGGGUUGAUCCAGUUCCUGACACAGAAGAAGGGACAUUUAGGAAAGCUGCUGGAGGAAGGAUAGAAAAGUUUUGGCUUCUGUAUGGAGACCAAAACUUGAAGGUCCAUGAAGUCCAGCAAAGUUGAAGAACUUUUCUUGGGCUCUUUACAAUCCCACGGAUGAUCUGGCAGAUUGAGAGAAGGAGGGAUCCUCUGGCAUCAGCAUCCAUGAAGUAGACUGCUACCUGAAGGACAAGCCAUAAUGAGGUCUGUUGGGCUCCUCCUUGCUGCUCCCGCCCCCUUCCCAGUGCUCCCCGCUGGAGGAGUUCACAGCUGCACUUUAUCAGUUCAAUUAGUUGUUUGCCCAUUUAAGUUCCCUUGUUUCAUCUUUCUGUUUGAGCGUUUGCAGGUUUUUUUUGUCAUGUUACUCAAUGGUUUUUCUUUUAUCAGCUUUCUCCCUUUUCCCCCAUCAAGGACGGUGAUUUUUUUUAUUAGUGCCAAUAAAUGGGUUCCGACUUGUC